This 292-nucleotide long non-coding RNA is filed under the name Phoenix dactylifera (date palm). RNAcentral describes it as "long non-coding RNA (PDAC_LNC018083)". The record is from RNAcentral. Lineage: Eukaryota; Viridiplantae; Streptophyta; Magnoliopsida; Arecales; Arecaceae.
CCUUAUCAGUUCUAAUUAAUUUAAAGAGGAUCUAGCCUCAAAUUAUAUUCAAUUUAGUCCCUCUAUUAAAAUUCGUGCUCUUCAGGCCCAGUUGAUUUUGGGUUUAAGAACACUGAGCUCGGACUAGGACCCAGUUUGGCCUCAGGCUUCUAAAGCCAAAUUUAUUUGAAGCAACCGCCGAAACCAAGCCCAUUUCGGCCCACAACAUUUUUUUCUUAUUUCUUUUCUUUUCCUUCUUUUCUUCUUUUCUUUUCUUCUUUUUCUUUUCUUCCUUUUUCUUCCUUCCCGAACC